Regulatory RNA element from Desulfitobacterium hafniense Y51, 148 nucleotides. It matches the Rfam family "c-di-AMP riboswitch aptamer (ydaO/yuaA leader)". Rfam says of the family: This family represents a conserved RNA structure found upstream of the ydaO and yuaA genes in Bacillus subtilis and related genes in other bacteria. The ydaO/yuaA element is thought to act as a genetic "off" switch for the ydaO and yuaA genes in its native state. Lineage: Bacteria; Bacillati; Bacillota; Clostridia; Eubacteriales; Desulfitobacteriaceae. The record is from Rfam.
UUGCAGUCAAGGCUGAAUUUCCCAAAAAGGAAAACGGGGGAACCAUAUUGGGGGUGAAUCAUUGUUAAGGAGAGCAAACUCCUUAAAAUGACGGAAAGGUAUCAUUCCGAACCCGGCAGCUAACCUCGUAAGCGUGUGAACCGUUUUA